GGGGGAAUUUUGGACAAUGGGGGCAACCCUGAUCCAGCCAUGCCGCGUGAGUGAAGAAGGCCUUCGGGUUGUAAAGCUCUUUCGGCCGGGAAGAAAUCGUGCAGGCUAAUACCCUGUAUGGAUGACGGUACCGGAAUAAGAAGCACCGGCUAACUACGUGCCAGCAGCCGCGGUAAUACGUAGGGUGCGAGCGUUAAUCGGAAUUACUGGGCGUAAAGCGUGCGCAGGCGGUUUUGUGAGACAGGCGUGAAAUCCCCGGGCUCAACCUGGGAACUGCGCUUGUGACUGCAAGACUAGAGUACGGCAGAGGGGGGUUGGAAUUCCACGUGUAGCAGUGAAAUGCGUAGAGAUGUGGAGGAACACCAAUGGCGAAGGCAGCCCCCUGGGUCGAUACUGACG
This 399-nucleotide ribosomal RNA is filed under the name uncultured bacterium. Its description in RNAcentral is "bacterial SSU rRNA". It matches the Rfam family "Bacterial small subunit ribosomal RNA", at positions 355 to 745 of the family's 1533-position model. The record is from RNAcentral.